GACGAACCGUCCAAACGUUACUCGGAAUUACUGGGCUUAAAGGGUGCGUAGGCUGCGCGGAAAGUUGGGUGUGAAAUCCCUCGGCUCAACCGGGGAAUUGCAUCCAAAACUACCGUGCUCGAGGGAGACAGAGGUAAGCGGAACUCAAGGUGGAGCGGUGAAAUGCGUUGAUAUCUUGAGGAACACCGGUGGCGAAAGCGGCUUACUGGGUCUCUUCUGACGCUGAGGCACGAAAGCUAAGGUAGAAAACGGG
This 253-nucleotide ribosomal RNA is filed under the name uncultured bacterium. Its description in RNAcentral is "partial 16S ribosomal RNA". It matches the Rfam family "Bacterial small subunit ribosomal RNA", at positions 524 to 776 of the family's 1533-position model. The record is from RNAcentral.